Molecule: ribosomal RNA, 469 nt
Filed under: uncultured bacterium
Lineage: Bacteria
Description: partial 16S ribosomal RNA
Rfam family: Bacterial small subunit ribosomal RNA
Source: RNAcentral
GACGAACGCUGGCGGCGUGCUUAACACAUGCAAGUCGAACGGAAAGGCCCUGCUUGCAGUGUGCGCGUGUGGCGAACGGGUGAGUAACACGUGUGUGCUCUGCCCCUUACUUUGGGAUAGGCCUGGGAAACUGGGUCUAAUACGGGAUAUGACCAUGCUGUAGGUGGGGUGGUGGAAAGAUUCGUUGCGGUAAGGGGUGAGCUCGCGGCCUAUCAGCUUGUUGGUGGGGUAGUGGCGUCCAAAGGCGUCGACGGGUGGCCGCCGCGAGAGGGGGGACGGGGCCAUUGGGACUGUGAGACGGCGCCGAGUCCUCCGGGGGGGGGCAGUGGGGAGUAUUGCGCAAUGGGGGCAAGCGUGAUGUGGAGACGCGGCGUGGGGGGGGACGGGGCUCGGGUGGUGAACUCCUUUCAGCGAAGACGAAGAGCUUGUGGUGACGGUAGUGGUAGAAGAAGCACCGGCUAACUACGUG